CCUCCCCAGUAGCUGGGACUACAGGAGCCCGCCACCUCGCCCGGCUAAUUUUUUGUAUUUUUAGUAGAGACGGGGUUUCACCGUGUUAGCCAGGAUGGUCUUGAUCUCCUGACCUCGUGAUCCGCGCGCCUCGGUCUCCCAAAAUGCUGGGAUUACAGGCGUGUGCCACCGCGCCUGGCCUCAUCUCUUAAUUCGAGUAAUUUUACAUAAGCAACAAUGGGGUAAGGAGGAGAAAAGAAAGAAGGAAAAAUUGGAAAGAUAAAUGGGGUCUUUCCAGUGAAGCCUCCAGGCCUCCAGACUGGAACUUAUACCACUGAUUCUUCUGAAUCUUAGGCCUUUGGACUUGGACUGGAACUAAACCAUCAGCUCUUCUUGUUCUACCACUUGCAGACUGUAUGUCUUGGGACAUGUCAGCCUCUGUAAUCACGCUCAAUUUUCCUACAUAAUUAAGAGUUUGGAAUUCGGGCAAUAUCAAGAACCACAUCUGUCCUGAAAUCAAUUAUCUCUGUUUGAAACACAAGAAAUAAGAAGACCAUUUUGAGAAGAACAGAGAGUAGCCUUAAGAAAAUCCCUGUCGCAAGCACUCUGGGAUUUGGACUCAAAUGCUAAUUAUACAGAACCACUUGGGUGCCCAGCUGCUGUCCAUUCUCUACACUUAUCCCACCUGAUGGAAGGCUGUUAAGAAAAACAUCACUGCAAUGCCUAAUAAACAGACAUGGGUCCCAGACCCAAUAAGAGUGAAACCAUCCCCCUAUUUAAAUGAAAUUAUGGCUGAUGAGAAAGACAAAUUAAUUUCUCUGUCCCUAGUAUUACACAAAACUUUGGAUGCUGCCAUUGUUACAAUUUUAUUUUCCCCAGGAGCUCAGAGUCCCACCUUCAUUCUUUUUGUUUAAUGCUUAAGCUUGCCUGUCCACCUAUGGAAGACUAGAAUGAGCAAAGACCAUGUAUUCAAUGAUCUGUAAAUCUAACAGGAAACAAUAUAAUAAAUAUAUUGUGUUUGCUAACCAAAUCUGUGAAUGAUUAGAUCGACUGGUUAAUGAUUAGAUGGAUUAACACAUCAUUUCUAUUUUCUCUCUCCUCCCCUACUUCUUGUUUUAAUGAUACCUUCCAAGUUUUAUUUCUCCAAGCCUAACCCCUUACAUAAUACAAGAGGACAACAGUUUGCAAAAUAAAUAUCUGUUGGCCCUAACUGGUAAAUACUGAAAUAGAUUUCAAGUAAUGUGAGUGUUUUUGAAACCACCUAAAUCUGUAAGCCACCCUGCAAGGAACAAGGGUAGCAAAGUGAAUAAGCCAGACAUGUAAAAAUAAAGAUGACAAAAUGGAAGGCAAUUAAUGCCUGUAAUGGAGGUGGGGAAGGGGGGAAUGACAAGUUAAUAAGAAAUUUAUUUUUAAAUGCUAUCAUCUGCCAUAAAAUAUCCAUGCUUAUUUUAGAAAAUAUGUAAAAUGUUUAAGAAUUAAACAUCUUUAAAAAAAUCACAUGAACUCAUCACCCUGCAACAAAACACACACAGAUGAGUGCACACACUUAAACACACAUUAAUUUUCAAUUAGUAUAUAAAGUUAAUAUCCUGCUAAGUACAAGAUACUAUAUCAUGAGCACUUUGUCUC
This 1608-nucleotide long non-coding RNA is filed under the name Homo sapiens (human). Its description in RNAcentral is "HSALNT0110365". Lineage: Eukaryota; Metazoa; Chordata; Mammalia; Primates; Hominidae. The record is from RNAcentral.